AACGCUGGCGGCGUGCCUAAUACAUGCAAGUCGAACGAGCUGAAUUCAAAGAUUCCUUCGGGAUGAUUUGUUGGACGCUAGCGGCGGAUGGGUGAGUAACACGUGGGCAAUCUGCCCUAAAGACUGGGAUACCACUUGGAAACAGGUGCUAAUACCGGAUAACAACAUGAAUCGCAUGAUUCAAGUUUGAAAGGCGGCGUAAGCUGUCACUUUAGGAUGAGCCCGCGGCGCAUUAGCUAGUUGGUGGGGUAAAGGCCUACCAAGGCAAUGAUGCGUAGCCGAGUUGAGAGACUGAUCGGCCACAUUGGGACUGAGACACGGCCCAAACUCCUACGGGAGGCAGCAGUAGGGAAUCUUCCACAAUGGACGCAAGUCUGAUGGAGCAACGCCGCGUGAGUGAAGAAGGUUUUCGGAUCGUAAAGCUCUGUUGUUGGUGAAGAAGGAUAGAGGCAGUAACUGGUCUUUAUUUGACGGUAAUCAACCAGAAAGUCACGGCUAACUA
Molecule: ribosomal RNA, 502 nt
Filed under: Lactobacillus delbrueckii subsp. bulgaricus
Lineage: Bacteria; Bacillati; Bacillota; Bacilli; Lactobacillales; Lactobacillaceae
Description: bacterial SSU rRNA
Rfam family: Bacterial small subunit ribosomal RNA
Source: RNAcentral